AGAAAUGAUUUCAAGCAUAACUUAAUCUUGUUGCAGUCGAUAAAGGUGUUUAGAAUGCAGUUUCAUUCAUUUCUUAUUUACUUUUUGAUAAACAAUGCGUCUCUUAACGUUCAUGGAAUGUUCAUUCGCGAUAAAACCGCGUGAAACACCGUUAAAAGCGCAAGAAAACGUAGUUUAAUUGGUCUAACCUGUAUUUAUCUAAAAAUCAUAGCCAAAAAUCAUACUUUCAUACAAAAAUGUUACCAAAACGCUUAGAAAUCACACAGUGCAGUUUAAUAUUAUCAGUAUUAUUGUUAACUUUAGUACAAAUCUCAUUCCAACAACAUAUUUUUGAGGAAACGUGUGAAUAUAAGGUUAAGAUAAAUAAUAACACAGAAAGUUUAAGAUUUGCGUCGCAAGUGCACAACAUCACAAGCAGGUUCUAUGAUGUUUUUAUUAAUUUCUGUAAGCCACUUCAGAAUUUCAUGCCAAUUUGUGAUGGAUCAUCACAAGUUUGCAUUAUCAAGAAGCAAAACAAGAGAAAUAUGUUGAAAAAACCAGUUGUUAUGUUUCAAUCAGAUGUUGAAAUCAAUAAUAUAACUAAAGAGCAAACAAUUUUCAUGAAAACAAAUAGUUUGGGUCCUUGUCAAGAUGGGAAUUAUCAGUUUACAGUUAGAAUUGACAAAACAAUUAAUGUGAAUGAAAUAUCAUAUGUUGAUGAUUGUUUGAUGGAAAUUAAGUUUACUCAUCCAGAUAUUCUCCUUCGUGAUGCUGCAUUCUCUUUUCAUGGACUGAUUAUUGAUUUAACACCUUUAAAAUUAAUCCCUCAACAAAUUUUGACAGUAAACAAUAGCAGAAUAGCACUGGCAGCCUUCCAUCCAGCUGAAUCAUGCAGAAGUUCAAGUAGAAUCUGUGAAAUUACACAAAAAGAUAAAGUUAUUCCGAUUGCUGAUGUUCAACACGUCCUCUAUGAUGAUACGAAGAAUCAAAUCACAAUUCGUGGGCGUAAAUCGUCUGGGAAAGGAAAAAUCAAGAGUGAGAUAUUGCUGCGGUGUAAUUGGAGCGCCAUCUUUGAGAAUCCACGCAAACAACUUGCAAAUUACAAAUAUACAAUUGAUUCAAAGUUUGGAUGUGUAAAAACACCACUCAACUGCACGAUUGUUGAUAUUCAAAAUUACAAAUAUGAUUUAUCAUCACUCGAUAAUCCACUAGGUUGGAUUGUAAAAAACACAUCAAACACUGAAACCAUGAAAAUGAACAUCUGCGGAGUGUUAAAACAUUUUGAAAGGUCAGAAUGUUCAGAAACUUAUUCACAAGUCUGCUCACAACAAAAUGGCGCUGGUGGCCAUUUUGUAAACUAUGGAUCACUACACAAUGGUCUAAAAAUGAAUGGAGAAGAUAUUAUUCUUACUUAUUCACAUGGAUCACAAUGUUUAACGAAUUCAGAUGAAUAUUUAUCAACUUCAAUAACAUUUCAAUGCUUUUCUGAAGAAUUCGGACCUGUUUUAAGUUCUUUUGCGAAUUGCACAGCUAAAAUCAACUGGAAAACGCCGGCUGCUUGUACUAAAGGUUUAUCUGAUGAUUCUAGUUUUAGUUAUGCUAGAAUCAUCAAAGAUGUGAGACAAACUAAAGAAUUAUCAUGUAGUUUGUAUCAUAAUGGACAAAUGUUUCGAUUUGGACGCUUGAUAUCAAACAAUAUGACUUUUGAGAGUAGAUUGGUGAAAAAUCGACGAUAUUUUGUGAAUAUUUGCCAACCGAUUGCGAUUACAAGAGAAAAUUUCUAUUGUGGCGUGACUGGUGCAUGUAUAGAUGAACAAAAUGAGAUUGAUUUGAAAAACGGUAAGGUUUUCCAUCAAAACCAUGAAAAUAAGUUGUAUUUAUGUAUUUUUUAUGUAUUUUCUUUAGAUUUAAGUGGAUUGGUUCAUUGACAGAGCCGAAAAUUGAAAAUGACGAGAUAAUAAUACGUUAUGAAGGUGGUUUGUGUCAAAAUUCAACUCAUACAGAGAUUGUGAUCACCUUCAACUGUUCCAAGACACAGGAACCUCUAAAAUUAUCAAAAGAAACAGUUUGUCGUGCAGAUUUUACAUGGAACACACCUUUGGCAUGCAAACACAAAGUGCAACGCUCACUAAACUGCAAUGUUGCUGUGCCCAGUGGAGAAAUCAUCGAUUUUGGUAAAAUUGACAUCAGAACCAGACAUUUUCAUGUCGAACAAGCUGAAAUGAUAUACGAUGUUGAUCUGUGUUCGGAUAAUGUACUUCUAUUGACUAAUUCAACACAAACAGAAAGUGGAAUAAUCAACACCACAAGAUAUUUAAUUGAAAAGGAAUGUCAAUAUUCAAUGAUUUACAAGUUUACGAAGAAGAUACAAUGUCUUGAAAGCAUAAAAGUUAAUUUAUUAUGCAAUGAGAUUGAUAACAAUCCAGAUCAUCUUGAUUUACCUACAGAUUUGAAUAAUCAGUCCAAUUGUCCAAGUGAGUUUGUAAUCUCAUUGAAAUCUUCGUAUAUUUGUGAUGUUAUUCAGUGUAAUAAGAAUAAGAAGACAGAAAUUCAGAAAGACACUGAAAAAUACACAAAAACAAAGGAUGUAGAAGUUUCUACAUGUAAAAUUGUUAAUACACAUCAAAAUAAGAAAGAUUUUUAUAUCAAUGACCUGAAACCAUUGAUAAACAAGAAAACAACCGUUGUUUAUACGCUUGGAAGCACAAAGAAGCUUAAAACCUGUGAUGGAUUCGUUUGUAAGAAUAAUUUAACUUUAGCAACGCUCGAAAUCUGUCCAAGUAGUAAUUUAAUACAAAAAGAAAAGACAUUGCAGCUAUUUUUGAUGGGACCUAGUUGUAACAAAGAUUAUUAUAAAGUGAAACUUAAUUUGCACUGCGCAAGCACCAAGACUGAAGAAACGUUCGAAUUACUCAAAGAUGAAGAGUGUUCUGCUGAGUUUCAGGUAGAAACCAAUGAUGUUUGUGUUUUAUUCGAUGAAGUUAUCACUUCGACAUCACAGGGUAAUGUUACAGGUUAUAUUUUAGGAUUACUUUCCUGCUUGAUUGUUUUGAUCAUUGCAGUCUUAAUUUGGAAGUAUAGGUUGUGCACUGGUAAAUUAUCUUGUAGAGAUUCGAGUUACAGCCCAACUCAAUCAACUCUUUUGUAUGUGAAGAAUGAUUAAUCAAAAAUCAUCAAGCUGUAUGGAAAUUUUGAUGACAUGAAGGAGGUUUUGAGUCUUUUUAUGUUUUGUUUAAUUGAUUAAUGUGUUCCUAACUAAUUUGUACUUAUUUUUAAUUGUUUUAUGUGUAAGUUGAUAGACAUAACCUAUAAUGGACGCAACAAGGUAAAAACAAAGUUAAAAUGCUACUAAAAGUGACAAAAAGCAUGAAUUCUGUCCGAAAAUUCAUCUUUAAAUAUACUUUAUUUAUUUAUCAUCGUA
RNA transcript from Dalotia coriaria, 3400 nucleotides. RefSeq lists it as uncharacterized. The record is from RefSeq and is a predicted model, not a curated record. The transcript is spliced from 8 exons. NCBI's taxonomy places the organism in Eukaryota, Metazoa, Arthropoda, Insecta, Coleoptera, Staphylinidae.